CGCGGUUAGACUUGAAACUAUAAAUUAAGGUUAUUAGCAGUUAAUUUUAGUAUUUAAAUAACGAAAAAUAUAGAGGUAAAAUUCAAGCUUUAAUUCUUUAAUUAUUAAGAUAAUGAAGCUGUUAAGUUUAAGAUUUAAAUCGGGAUUAGAUACCCCGUUAUACUUAAAUAUAUAAAUAUAAGGGUAUUAAAAGUUAUGUUCUCUAAACCCAAAGGAUUUGGCGGUUUUUAAACUAACUAGAGGAGGCUGCUCCGUAAUCGUAAAUACGCGUUAAAUUUUACCUUAAAUCAUACUCAUAUACCGUCAUCUUAAUAUAAUUUUAAGGUUAUAUUUAAAUUGAUUGCAAUAAAUAUGUUAGAUCAAGGUGUGGUUAUAUUAAGGGGAGGGUGGCCUACAAUUUAUAAAUUAGUGGAAGUUUAUUAAAAUAAAGCGAAAAAUGGAUUUAGUAGUAAUAUGUAUCUAAAUAUGAUACUAGGAAUAGGCUCUUAAAAAUGUACAUAUCGCCCGUCACUCUCAUAGUUGAGAUAAGUCGU
RNAcentral lists this ribosomal RNA (533 nucleotides) under Caecosphaeroma virei. RNAcentral describes it as "partial 12S ribosomal RNA". The record is from RNAcentral. Lineage: Eukaryota; Metazoa; Arthropoda; Malacostraca; Isopoda; Sphaeromatidae.